Molecule: microRNA precursor, 75 nt
Organism: Petromyzon marinus (sea lamprey)
Lineage: Eukaryota; Metazoa; Chordata; Hyperoartia; Petromyzontiformes; Petromyzontidae
Source: Ensembl
GGAGCUGUAGCAGCACGUAAUGGUUUGUAUUUGGGAUGUCAGGAGUUACAGACCAUGCUGUGCUGCCGCAGUGGC